This 401-nucleotide long non-coding RNA is filed under the name Rattus norvegicus (Norway rat). Its description in RNAcentral is "long non-coding RNA NONRATT023449". The record is from RNAcentral. Lineage: Eukaryota; Metazoa; Chordata; Mammalia; Rodentia; Muridae.
GCGGUGGGAGAGGUGGGAGGAUGAAGAUAUAGGGGUGCCUGAGUUGCAACCAAGGCAAUGGCUUACUACCUCAACUCAGAAGCCCACCUGGAUCCGGGGCCCAUCUAUGUUCGAGAAAAUGGGCAGCUCCACAUGGUCAGUCUGGCCUUGGAUGGUGUUAAGAACAGCCUGCAGAAGCCACGGCCUUUCAGACUCUUUCCCAAAGGCUUUUCUGUGGAGCUAUGCAUGAACAGGGAAGACGACACUGCACAGAAAGAGAAAACUGAUCACUUCAUUUUCACGUACACCCGAGAGGGGAAUCUGCGCUACUCUGCUAAAUCCCUCUUCAGCCUGGUGCUGGGCUUCAUCUCCGACAAUGUUGAUCACAUUGAUUCCCUUAUUGGCUUUCCUGAGCAGAUUGC